RNAcentral lists this ribosomal RNA (449 nucleotides) under uncultured bacterium. RNAcentral describes it as "partial 16S ribosomal RNA". It matches the Rfam family "Bacterial small subunit ribosomal RNA", at positions 29 to 523 of the family's 1533-position model. The record is from RNAcentral.
AACGUACGCUGGCGGCACGCCUAACACGUGCAAGUCGAACGCAGUAGCAAUACUGAGUGGAAGACGGGUGAGUAACAUGUGGGAAACUGCCUUGUGGCUAAGGACAACAUUGGGAAACCGAUGCUAAUACUGGAUAAGACCUUACGGGGAAAGUUUUAAUGCCAUAAGAUGAGCCCUCAUUUGAUUAGUUAGUUGGUGAGUUAAUGGCUCACCAAGACAAUGAUCAAUAGCUGAUCUGAGAGGAUGAUCAGCCACACUGGGACUGAGACACGGCCCAGACUCCUACGGGAGGCAGCAGUGGGGAAUCUUGCACAAUGGAGGAAACUCUGAUGCAGCGAUGCCGCGUGAGUGAAGAAGGCCUUUGGGUUGUAAAGCUCUUUUGUAGUGGAAGAUAAUGACUGUACCCUAAGAAUAAGGUCCUGCUAACUUCGUGCCAGCAGCCGCCGUAA